Molecule: ribosomal RNA, 716 nt
Filed under: uncultured bacterium
Lineage: Bacteria
Description: bacterial SSU rRNA
Rfam family: Bacterial small subunit ribosomal RNA
Source: RNAcentral
UGCAGUCGACGCGAAAGCGGCUUCGGCCGUAAGUAGAGUGGCGAACGGGUGAGUAACGCGUGGGUGACCUGCCUUCGAGUGGGGGAUAACGUUUCGAAAGGAACGCUAAUACCGCAUAACAUCCCGACCUUAGACGGACGGUGAUCAAAGCUGGGGAUCGCAAGACCUGGCGCUUGAAGAGGGGCCCGCGUCCGAUUAGCUAGUUGGUAGGGUAACGGCCUACCAAGGCAACGAUCGGUAGCCGGCCUGAGGGGGCGGACGGCCACACUGGGACUGAGACACGGCCCAGACUCCUACGGGAGGCAGCAGUGAGGAAUUGUUCGCAAUGGGCGCAAGCCUGACGACGCAACGCCGCGUGGAGGACGAAGACUUUCGGGUUGUAAACUCCUGUCGAGCGGGACGAAUAUCACCCGGGUCAAUACCCCGGGUGCCUGACGGUACCGCUAAAGGAAGCCCCGGCUAACUCCGUGCCAGCAGCCGCGGUAAUACGGGGGGGGCAAGCGUUGUUCGGAAUUACUGGGCGUAAAGAGCUCGUAGGCGGCCAACUAAGUCGGACGUGAAAUCCCUCGGCUCAACCGAGGAACUGCGUCCGAGACUGGCUGGCUUGAAGCCGGGAGAGGGAUGCGGAAUUCCAGGUGUAGCGGUGAAAUGCGUAGAUAUCUGGAGGAACACCGGUGGCGAAGGCGGCAUCCUGGACCGGGUCUUGACGCUGAGGA